CUACAGAGGGUGCGAGCGUUAAUCGGAAUUACUGGGCGUAAAGCGCGCGUAGGCGGCUACUUAAGUCAGAUGUGAAAUCCCCGGGCUCAACCUGGGAACUGCAUCUGAUACUGGGUAGCUAGAGUUUUGGAGAGGGAAGUAGAAUUUCAGGUGUAGCGGUGAAAUGCAUAGAGAUCUGAAGGAAUACCAGUGGCGAAGGCGACUUCCUGGCCAAAAACUGACGCUGAGGUGCGAAAGCGUGGGUAGCAAACGGGAUUAGAAACCCGAGUAGUCC
This 274-nucleotide ribosomal RNA is filed under the name uncultured bacterium. Its description in RNAcentral is "partial 16S ribosomal RNA". It matches the Rfam family "Bacterial small subunit ribosomal RNA", at positions 523 to 796 of the family's 1533-position model. The record is from RNAcentral.